UAAGCGCCAUAUCAGCAAUGAACCAACAACGAACACUUGUUGCAAUCACGCCACAAGACACUGUUCUAUAUUAAGCAAAAUACGACAGAGUAUAAAAGGAAGUACUAUUCCUUCAUUCAGACAUAACACAAUUUUUGUGCAAAUUUAAUCCUCAUUUUCACUUCAUUCAACGAAAACAAAUCAAAAUCCAAAAAUGGGUGCUGAAAAAGUAACAAUGAACAUCGUUGUCGUCGGACAAGUCCAAUCUGCCAAGGCCAUCAAAUCGAUUGCUAAAGCCACCCCAGCCACCAGCCAGUUGAUGAACUGUUAAUUCAUGACGUCCAUAGCAAUCUCAAAUUCAAAAAUGCCAUAGCCCAAACAGUACUUAAUAUUUUUAUAAUUCGUUGAUAAUUAUAAUGUGUAUUGACAUUACAAAAUAAAUCAGUAACUUCCGUCACUUAA
Rhopalosiphum padi (bird cherry-oat aphid) is the source of this 441-nucleotide long non-coding RNA. RefSeq lists it as uncharacterized. NCBI's taxonomy places the organism in Eukaryota, Metazoa, Arthropoda, Insecta, Hemiptera, Aphididae. The transcript has 3 exons. The record is from RefSeq and is a predicted model, not a curated record.